UCAUAAAGUAAGUUCAAACCAAAAAUCUCUUAUGUUAGCAUAUAUAUAUACUUACAUUUUCACAUAAUGAAUAGUAUAAAAUUUUAUUGAAUCCAAUCAACUGCUUUAUUGAGAAAAGAAAUGAAAGAAUACAAGGGUGAACAUGUAAAAGAAAAUCCAAGCCCACAAAACACCCUAGAUAAAGGGAUUCUAACAAAGUAAAAUAUUGUCUAGGGAAUAUAUUUACAAAAAGUCUUCGAAACGGAAGCCUAGAGAAACGUGAAACCUCACGGUGAUCAAACCUCACUAGGGUCUCUCUCCACUCCACAAAACAAAGAUUCCACAAUACCGUGCACACCCUCCAAGCCAAAGAAAACAACCUUUCUCUUUGAAAGAGGUGGAUGGAGAACAGAGGAGGAACUCUCCAAUCAUCAAACGAACAUCCCUCUAACGAGCAAACGCAAAAUUGAACUUCUAAAAGAAGUCAUUCCACAGAAAAAUUUAACUGCAAAAGAAUUAUUUCUUGUGACUAUAACACCACCAUAGAAGCUGUAAACUAUACACAUACCUCCAAAAGAACUCAAAGGGAGAGCUUAUCAUCCAAGGUUUUCUGAUUCCUUUCCAACUUAGUUCAUAUGUUUUUCAUAGACUGAAUUUUGAUUUUUUUGGAUAAAGAUGGCUAGCCAAUUAUUUCCCUGUUCAUAUAGACUUUGGAGAAGGUGUGGUCUUUCAUGGAAAAAUGAAAAAAGAACAAAAGUGACCCACAGCAAAGAAAUGUUUAAUCACUCUUAAUUUAAAAGAUGAAUUUUUUUUUGUUGAAUUAGUACUUUAAUGUUUAAUCACUCUUAAUUUUUACCUGCUCUUCUUUUUCUUUUAAAUAUCAUGUAAC
This 868-nucleotide long non-coding RNA is filed under the name Cucumis sativus (cucumber). RNAcentral's name for it is "long non-coding RNA (CSAT_LNC002204)". Lineage: Eukaryota; Viridiplantae; Streptophyta; Magnoliopsida; Cucurbitales; Cucurbitaceae. The record is from RNAcentral.